This 497-nucleotide ribosomal RNA is filed under the name uncultured bacterium. RNAcentral describes it as "partial 16S ribosomal RNA". It matches the Rfam family "Bacterial small subunit ribosomal RNA", at positions 28 to 507 of the family's 1533-position model. The record is from RNAcentral.
GAUGAACGCUGGCGGCGUGCCUAAUACAUGCAAGUCGAGCGAACAGACGAUGAGCUUGCUCCUCUGACGUUAGCGGCUGACGGGUGAGUAACACGUGGAUAACCUACCUAUAAUACUGGGAUAACUUCGGGAAACCGGAGCUAAUACCGGAUAAUAUAUUGUACGGCAUGGAUCAAUAGUGAAACACGGUUUUGCUGUCACUUAGAGAUGGAUCCGGGCCGCAUUAGCGAGUUGGUAAGGUAACGGCUUACCAAGGCAACGAUGCGUAGCCGACGUGAGGGGGUGAUCAGCCACACUGGAACUGAGACACGGUCCAGACUCCUACGGGAGGCAGCAGUGGGGAAUAUUCGACAAUGGGCGAAAGCCUGAUGCAGCCAUACCGCGGGAGUGAAGAAGGUCUUCGGGUUGUAAAGCUCUUUUUUUGGGAAAGAAAAACAGCAAGUGAAUACCCCGCUGUUCUGACGGUACCCAAAGAAUAAGCACCGGCUAACUUCGUG